RNAcentral lists this ribosomal RNA (650 nucleotides) under uncultured bacterium. RNAcentral's name for it is "bacterial SSU rRNA". It matches the Rfam family "Bacterial small subunit ribosomal RNA", at positions 81 to 766 of the family's 1533-position model. The record is from RNAcentral.
GGAGGCUCAGGUGAGCGGCGGACGGGUUAGUAACGCGUGGGAAUAUGCCCUUUUCUGCGGAAUAGCCUCUGGAAACGGAGAGUAAUACCGCAUACGCCCUUUGGGGGAAAGAUUUAUCGGAGAAGGAUUAGCCCGCGUUAGAUUAGGUAGUUGGUGGGGUAAUGGCCUACCAAGCCUACGAUCUAUAGCUGGUUUUAGAGGAUGAUCAGCAACACUGGGACUGAGACACGGCCCAGACUCCUACGGGAGGCAGCAGUGGGGAAUCUUGGACAAUGGGGGCAACCCUGAUCCAGCCAUGCCGCGUGAGUGAUGAAGGCCUUAGGGUCGUAAAGCUCUUUCGCCUGUGAAGAUAAUGACGGUAGCAGGUAAAGAAACCCCGGCUAACUCCGUGCCAGCAGCCGCGGUAAUACGGAGGGGGUUAGCGUUGUUCGGAAUUACUGGGCGUAAAGCGCACGUAGGCGGACCAGAAAGUUGGGGGUGAAAUCCCGGGGCUCAACCCCGGAACUGCCUCCAAAACUAUUGGUCUAGAGUUCGAGAGAGGUGAGUGGAAUUCCAAGUGUAGAGGUGAAAUUCGUAGAUAUUUGGAGGAACACCAGUGGCGAAGGCGGCUCACUGGCUCGAUACUGACGCUGAGGUGCGAAAGUGUGGGG